AAGUCGUAACAAGGUUUCCGUAGGUGAACCUGCGGAAGGAUCAUUAACACGAAUUUUAUCCAAUAUCAAAACCCAACGUGAACAUUUACCCUCCCUAUUUUGGUUCUAAGAACCAAAUAGGCUAACAACCCAUAUUUUUAACCACUUUAAUUUUUCAGGCUGCGAUGUGAAUGCCACGAAGUAAUAUUCGUGCGUUGCAUUGUCAGACUAACUAAAUAUAAAUCGCCUUUCAUUUUAUGGAGACGAUUUUCUUUACGAAAUUGUAAGAACAACUCUUAGCAAUGGAUAUCUUGGUUCUC
Molecule: unclassified non-coding RNA, 299 nt
Filed under: fungal sp.
Lineage: Eukaryota; Fungi
Description: partial internal transcribed spacer region
Rfam family: Eukaryotic small subunit ribosomal RNA (bases 1-46)
Source: RNAcentral